Dalotia coriaria is the source of this 1412-nucleotide long non-coding RNA. RefSeq lists it as uncharacterized. Lineage: Eukaryota; Metazoa; Arthropoda; Insecta; Coleoptera; Staphylinidae. The transcript has 2 exons. The record is from RefSeq and is a predicted model, not a curated record.
CAGCGCGAUCCUUUUUUGUUCGAUUCGUAUGAAUCGAGUGAUCCAUGAGUAUCAACAGGCGAGGUUUCCUUAUUGCGGUUAGCGUUUGAAAACGGCAUUCAGUUCGAGUCUGUUUCAUUGAACAGUAGUGAGUACGAGUCAAUCAGCAACGAGAGCCAGGGCCAGAGUCACAAUUGUAGGAAGAGACAAAGGCAGUGAGAUUCAGGGAAGACUAUUAUUUAGAUAUUUAGCGUGUAGAAUAACGUAUUAAUUUGCAUUUACAUUAGAAUAAAGCAUCCUAUCCUCUAACAAAGAUAUCUUCAAAUCGAAAGGAUUGGUAUGUAAAGAAACGUUUGAUAAACUAUUGCAGUAUCAAUUUGGGCAUAACCAAAAUGCUGAGACAAGCAAAUUCGAACAAGAAUAUUCUUGUCGAUAGAAAGAAUAUUCAUCUGCCUGAUGAUGCCACAGUGUGGCGAAACAUGUCUCAGACUAGUAAAAGUUUCAGUGAAACCCGUAAGGUUUAUCCUUUCUAUCGACGAUUACAAUGGAGUUUCAUCACUUUUCUACUUCUUAAGUCGUCGACUCGGGAAUUCGUCAGUCACAUUCGUAUAAAUACGAAUAUAUACGAAAAAAUGACAUGCUGGUUUAAUGAAAGUACAAAAUUAAUUAUUUUAAUUUGUGAUGCAGUUAUCGGCGUUGUACAUACCACAUUUGAAAAAUACAAUUAUUUUUCUAUAUAAAAUUACACGACAAAAAGAGAGGUACUUACUUACUCAUGUUUUUGUAUGUAAUAUUUUUUACACUUUGAAGAAGUACAUUAACACCAGUGUAAAAUUCAAAAAUUUGGAUACCCUGCAAGAACAAGAAAGGGCCGGGAUCAAAUUGAAAAUGCAGCUUAAAACUUCUUAAAAUGAAGAAAUUCUUAUAAAUCUAUUAACUGCCUUUUAGAUCUGCGAGUACUUAGGAAACCUUGAGCAUGAAUCUUUUUGCAUCCAGUAAGUAUUUUCACUAAGUAACAAACAAAUUGCUUACUCUAUUUUUUAUCAACUAUUUUUAUAUACUCUCGCUCCGCGUACUGGCUUGGUUUGGUGCCAAGCUCGGCACCAACAGGACAAGGAGUGGAAUAUGCAUACAUCUGCAUCAACUGGUGGUACUCCUAGUAUACAACGUUGCGAGAUGCAAAAACCAUAUGGCAGAACGCACGAAAAAACGCAAUCGUACAGUUGAGUUCGAAUUUAUAAUCUGCCAAAAACUCCUGCACCGCAGUGAUGGGAUGGAGACUGCCAAGAAAAUAAAUACUAACGAAUCCGAAAAUUACAGCUACUACUUGUAAACAAUGAUAAUUCAUAAAUCAAAAUUGUAAAAUCAUAUUUUAUUACAGAACGUGCAUUUGCUGAAAUAAAAUAUUUCUCUUUUUUAUGUUCGAAAUUAAA